UACGUAGGCAGCAAGCGUUGUUCGGAGUUACUGGGCGUAAAGAGUGCGUAGGCGGUCCUCUAAGUUUGGUGUGAAAUCUCCCGGCUCAACCGGGAGGGUGCGCCGAAAACUGGGGGGCUUGAGUGCCGGAGAGGAUAGCGGAAUUCCUGGUGUAGCGGUGAAAUGCGUAGAUAUCGGGAGGAACACCUGUGGUGUAGACAGCUAUCUGGACGGCCACUGACGCUGAGGCACGAAAGCGUGGGUAGCAAACAG
Molecule: ribosomal RNA, 252 nt
Filed under: uncultured bacterium
Lineage: Bacteria
Description: partial 16S ribosomal RNA
Rfam family: Bacterial small subunit ribosomal RNA
Source: RNAcentral